Molecule: ribosomal RNA, 540 nt
Filed under: Amanita sp. G3251
Lineage: Eukaryota; Fungi; Basidiomycota; Agaricomycetes; Agaricales; Amanitaceae
Description: eukaryotic LSU rRNA
Rfam family: 5.8S ribosomal RNA (bases 177-330)
Source: RNAcentral
UUUUGGCUGGAUGUUGUUGUGCUGGCCCUUUGUGCAAUGUGCACACUCCCCUUCCAGUCAUCUGUUUCUUCUGUUCCACCUGUGCACUGCUUGUAGACAACUCUGUGUCUAUGAUAAUGUCCACACACACUGUUAUGCAUAUUGGUUGGCAUUUAAUUACAUGUAUAACAAAUUACAACUUUCAACAAUGGAUCUCUUGGCUCUCGCAUCGAUGAAGAACACAGCGAAAUGUGAUAAGUAAUGUGAAUUGCAGAAUCCAGUGAAUCAUCGAAUCUUUGAACGCAUCUUGCGCUCCUUGGCAUUCUGAGGAGCAUGCCUGUUUGAGUGUCAUUAAACUAUCAAAACUCUUUUUCAUGAGUGGUUUUGGACUUUGGGAGUACUUCUGCUGGUCUGUUUGAGCCAGCUCUCCUCAAAAGCAAUUAGUUGGAGACAGUGCAAUAAUUUUAUACACUGGCUUUCUCCUCUUAAUAACUACACUUUUGACCUCAAAUCAGGUAGGACUACCCGCUGAACUUAAGCAUAUCAAUAAGCGGAGGAACU